This 253-nucleotide ribosomal RNA is filed under the name uncultured bacterium. RNAcentral's name for it is "partial 16S ribosomal RNA". It matches the Rfam family "Bacterial small subunit ribosomal RNA", at positions 524 to 776 of the family's 1533-position model. The record is from RNAcentral.
UACGAAAGGUGCAAGCGUUACUCGGAAUUACUGGGCGUAAAGCGUGCGUAGGUGGUUUGUUAAGUCUGAUGUGAAAGCCCUGGGCUCAACCUGGGAAUUGCAUUGGAUACUGGCAGGCUAGAGUGCGGUAGAGGAUGGCGGAAUUCCCGGUGUAGCAGUGAAAUGCGUAGAGAUCGGGAGGAACAUCUGUGGCGAAGGCGGCCAUCUGGACCAGCACUGACACUGAGGCACGAAAGCGUGGGGAGCAAACAGG